CCUACGGGUGGCUGCAGUGGGGAAUAUUGGACAAUGGGGGGAACCCUGAUCCAGCCAUGCCGCGUGUGUGAAGAAGGCCCUCGGGUUGUAAAGCACUUUCAGUGAGGAAGAACGCCUGGUGGUUAAUACCCAUCAGGAAAGACAUCACUCACAGAAGAAGCACCGGCUAACUCCGUGCCAGCAGCCGCGGUAAUACGGAGGGUGCGAGCGUUAAUCGGAAUUACUGGGCGUAAAGCGCGCGUAGGUGGCUUGAUAAGCCGGUUGUGAAAGCCCCGGGCUCAACCUGGGAACGGCAUCCGGAACUGUGAAGCUCGAGUGCAGGAGAGGAAGGUAGAAUUCCCGGUGUAGCGGUGAAAUGCGUAGAGAUCGGGAGGAAGACCAGUGGCGAAGGCGGCCUUCUGGACUGACACUGACACUGAGGUGCGAAAGCGUGGGUAGCAAACAGGAUUAGAUACCCCUGUAGUC
RNAcentral lists this ribosomal RNA (465 nucleotides) under Vreelandella stevensii. RNAcentral describes it as "partial 16S ribosomal RNA". It matches the Rfam family "Bacterial small subunit ribosomal RNA", at positions 338 to 795 of the family's 1533-position model. The record is from RNAcentral. Lineage: Bacteria; Pseudomonadati; Pseudomonadota; Gammaproteobacteria; Oceanospirillales; Halomonadaceae.